This 471-nucleotide long non-coding RNA is filed under the name Ursus maritimus (polar bear). RNAcentral's name for it is "lncRNA (ENSUMAG00000015707.1)". The record is from RNAcentral. Lineage: Eukaryota; Metazoa; Chordata; Mammalia; Carnivora; Ursidae.
GCACUUUGCUGCGGAGAGUCUGUUCCGCCAGUCUUCAGGUUACUUUCUGGGUUAUUGACGCUGAUGUGGGUGUUAUCUAGCUGUAUCCUGGGUUGAGGUGACCCCAGGAUCCUCCUACACCAUCUUCCCUGGAAGUCUGCUAUAUCCUUUUUUAUGAACGCCCCUCGAGCAGCAGUGGGGACACCAUGUCUGGCCCCAGCACCCAGCCCUCUAGCCACCGCGGCCAUUCCUGGAACCACCCCAGUCCUGCCCAUGCCAGAUUCUGAGAGUGAGAAGCCCGACUGAGCCCAGGCAGGCCAGCCCGACCCCGACGCCAGGCCCCGUGUCGUCACACAUGGAGAAGGCGAGUCCACGCCUCGUGUCCAGUUCACGCUGUUUUGUAACCACUUUCUAAGCAUUUUUUAUUCACAACUGGAAACACAAACAUAAUGCAAGAAUAAAGAAUAUUUUGGGGGAAAGGGGACUUUGGUU